RNAcentral lists this ribosomal RNA (473 nucleotides) under uncultured Pelotomaculum sp. RNAcentral describes it as "bacterial SSU rRNA". It matches the Rfam family "Bacterial small subunit ribosomal RNA", at positions 910 to 1382 of the family's 1533-position model. The record is from RNAcentral. Lineage: Bacteria; Bacillati; Bacillota; Clostridia; Eubacteriales; Desulfotomaculaceae.
UUGACGGGGCCCGCACAAGCGGUGGAGCAUGUGGUUUAAUUCGACGCAACGCGAAGAACCUUACCAGGGCUUGACAUCCCCUGACCGCGUAUGAAAGUACGUUUUCACCUUCGGGUGACAGGGAGACAGGUGGUGCAUGGUUGUCGUCAGCUCGUGUCGUGAGAUGUUGGGUUAAGUCCCGCAACGAGCGCAACCCCUACGUUUAGUUGCUAACGCGUGAAGGCGAGCACUCUAGACGAACUGCCGUUGACAAAACGGAGGAAGGUGGGAUGACGUCAAAUCAUCAUGCCCCUUAUGUUCUGGGCUACACACGUGCUACAAUGGCCGGUACAGACGGACGCAAAGCCGCGAGGUGGAGCAAAUCCUAAAAAGCCGGUCUCAGUUCGGAUUGCAGGCUGCAAUUCGCCUGCAUGAAGUCGGAAUCGCUAGUAAUCGCAGGUCAGCAUACUGCGGUGAAUACGUUCCCGGGCCUU